RNAcentral lists this long non-coding RNA (398 nucleotides) under Monodelphis domestica (gray short-tailed opossum). RNAcentral's name for it is "lncRNA (ENSMODG00000043219.1)". Lineage: Eukaryota; Metazoa; Chordata; Mammalia; Didelphimorphia; Didelphidae. The record is from RNAcentral.
GAGACAAGCAGGAGGAGGACUAAGUCUUUGAUCCCAGCUAUGUAGAUUCCCUCUGACUGGAGCAAAUGGGACAGGAGGGAGCUAGAGGCAAGAGGCUGUAGAAGGCAGUCUUGGUCAGGAACACAAGGAACCUGGCAGCCAGCAAUUUCCACACAGGAGCUCAUCUCUAUGAAAACGACACAUCCAGUGUCUCACUGACAACUCAUUUUCUCCAACCUUCAUUCUAUGGAGAGGCGACAUUGUGUUCCAGCUGCCAUAUUGCAGCCACAACCCCUGAUGCACCAUCAAUUAUGAACGGCAAUAAUUAUGCAUGGGAAAGAAGCCACAGAUAAUGGGCUUCCAUUAGAUUAAGUAGUUAUAUGAAUAAAAAAAAUAAAACCUAUACUUCGGCUAAUUAA